Woeseia oceani is the source of this 74-nucleotide transfer RNA. It matches the Rfam family "tRNA". Rfam says of the family: Transfer RNA (tRNA) molecules are approximately 80 nucleotides in length. Their secondary structure includes four short double-helical elements and three loops (D, anti-codon, and T loops). Further hydrogen bonds mediate the characteristic L-shaped molecular structure. tRNAs have two regions of fundamental functional importance: the anti-codon, which is responsible for specific mRNA codon recognition, and the 3' end, to which the tRNAs corresponding amino acid is attached (by aminoacyl-tRNA synthetases). tRNAs cope with the degeneracy of the genetic code in two manners: having more than one tRNA (with a specific anti-codon) for a particular amino acid; and 'wobble' base-pairing, i.e. permitting non-standard base-pairing at the 3rd anti-codon position. The record is from Rfam. NCBI's taxonomy places the organism in Bacteria, Pseudomonadati, Pseudomonadota, Gammaproteobacteria, Woeseiales, Woeseiaceae.
GCGCCCGUAGCUCAGCUGGAUAGAGUACCUGGCUACGAACCAGGCGGUCGGAGGUUCGAAUCCUUCCGGGCGCG